This 1077-nucleotide ribosomal RNA is filed under the name Treponema denticola. Its description in RNAcentral is "bacterial SSU rRNA". It matches the Rfam family "Bacterial small subunit ribosomal RNA", at positions 28 to 1097 of the family's 1533-position model. The record is from RNAcentral. Lineage: Bacteria; Pseudomonadati; Spirochaetota; Spirochaetia; Treponematales; Treponemataceae.
AACGAACGCUGGCGGCGCGUCUUAAGCAUGCAAGUCGAACGGUAAGGGAGAGCUUGCUCUCCCCUAGAGUGGCGGACUGGUGAGUAACGCGUGGGUGACCUGCCCUGAAGAUGGGGAUAGCUAGUAGAAAUAUUAGAUAAUACCGAAUGUGCUCAUUUACAUAAAGGUAAAUGAGGAAAGGAGCUACGGCUCCGCUUCAGGAUGGGCCCGCGUCCCAUUAGCUGGUUGGUGAGGUAAAGGCCCACCAAGGCAACGAUGGGUAUCCGGCCUGAGAGGGUGAACGGACACAUUGGGACUGAGAUACGGCCCAAACUCCUACGGGAGGCAGCAGCUAAGAAUCUUCCGCAAUGGACGAAAGUCUGACGGAGCGACGCCGUGUGAAUGAAGAAGGCCGAAAGGUUGUAAAAUUCUUUUGCAGAUGAAGAAUAAGAAGAAGAGGGAAUGCUUCUUGAUGACGGUAGUCAUGCGAAUAAGCCCCGGCUAAUUACGUGCCAGCAGCCGCGGUAACACGUAAGGGGCGAGCGUUGUUCGGAAUUAUUGGGCGUAAAGGGUAUGUAGGCGGUUAGGUAAGCCUGGUGUGAAAUCUACGAGCUCAACUCGUAAACUGCAUUGGGUACUACUUGACUUGAAUCACGGAGGGGAAACCGGAAUUCCAAGUGUAGGGGUGGAAUCUGUAGAUAUUUGGAAGAACACCGGUGGCGAAGGCGGGUUUCUGGCCGAUGAUUGACGCUGAUAUACGAAGGUGCGGGGAGCAAACAGGAUUAGAUACCCUGGUAGUCCGCACAGUAAACGAUGUACACUACGGUGUCGGGGCAAGAGCUUCGGUGCCGACGCAAACGCAUUAAGUGUACCGCCUGGGAAGUAUGCCCGCAAGGGUGAAACUCAAACGAAUUGACGGGGGCCCACACAAGCGGUGGAGCAUGUGGUUGAAUCCGAUGAUACGCGAGAACCUUACCUGGGUUUGACAUCAGAGCAAUGACGACACAUAUGGCAGCGUAGCAAUACGGCUCUUGACGCGUGCUGCAUGGCUGUGAUCAGCUCGUGCCGUGAGGUGUUGGGGUAAGCUCCGCACCGAGC